CCAGGUGUCAGAUUUUAUUUAUUGUUUGCCUUAAUCCGCGCAUGCUCGGUCUGCUUUGAGCCUUCCUUGAUUGCGAGCAGCUGUUCAGCAGUAAUUUUAUGAAAACAGGUUUGGCGUUUUUUCGUAUAUUCGACAGAACAGCCUGUUUAGAGUAACCUAUAGCUAAAUAAACAGACUAAAUCCAUCAUAGACAUCAAAACCACUGAUUCCGGAUUCAUAACUCAACAGCAGAACCAUAAAGUGUGGGCUCAGAACAGCACCAGAACUCGAUGGUGGGCUACUGUCUGUCAAAGAUCCUGAUCAUCCAGACAGCAGCUACAGUCAACAGAGAUCCAACAACAGCAGUAGUGAUGAACACCGUCCAAAAUGCUGAGCCUUCAGGAGGAAGAGGAGGAUUUUUAUGAUUGAGAGACAUUAACCAGAUCCAGAAGAUCCCGACUCCAACAAAAGUCAUCAGAGAUCCAGCAGCAGCAGAUAUCAAAACUAUCUGAGAACCUGACACCGGAGGACCAGAAGAAAUAGAAGUGAAUGUGUUGGUCGGAUCUAUAUCACAGGACAGCUGUAGGUGUUGUUAUCCUGAUAUUCCACCUCCAGAGGUAGAGAGAGACUGAUGCUGAGAUCAGACACACUGAUGCUGGACAAUACACUGUUUCCUUUGUACCAGGAGAGACUCACAGCGCUCACAUUCACCACUGAACACACCACUGAAUAAUUAUACUGGGAUGAUGAACACAGAGAAGAGUUGAAGAUGAGGGCAGGAACAAGCAGACGUGCUGGAAAACAUGAGAAUAGAGAUUUUCAGUACAGAGUUUGAGUGUAAAUUGUUGAAGAAUUUGUGAAGGAUUAAAGAACUUUACUCGCCAUGAACAGAAACAUUG
RNAcentral lists this long non-coding RNA (878 nucleotides) under Danio rerio (zebrafish). Its description in RNAcentral is "uncharacterized LOC103909531, transcript variant 3 (LOC103909531)". The record is from RNAcentral. Lineage: Eukaryota; Metazoa; Chordata; Actinopteri; Cypriniformes; Danionidae.